This 529-nucleotide ribosomal RNA is filed under the name uncultured bacterium. RNAcentral describes it as "partial 16S ribosomal RNA". It matches the Rfam family "Bacterial small subunit ribosomal RNA", at positions 355 to 874 of the family's 1533-position model. The record is from RNAcentral.
UGGGGAAUUUUGGACAAUGGGCGCAAGCCUGAUCCAGCCAUGCCGCGUGCGGGAAGAAGGCCUUCGGGUUGUAAACUGCUUUUGUCAGGGAAGAAAUCUUCUGAGUUAAUACCUCGGGAGGAUGACGGUACCUGAAGAAUAAGCACCGGCUAACUACGUGCCAGCAGCCGCGGUAAUACGUAGGGUGCAAGCGUUAAUCGGAAUUACUGGGCGUAAAGCGUGCGCAGGCGGUUUUGUAAGACAGAGGUGAAAUCCCCGGGCUCAACCUGGGAACUGCCUUUGUGACUGCAAGGCUUGAGUGCGGCAGAGGGGGGAUGGAAUUCCGCGUGUAGCAGUGAAAUGCGUAGAUAUGCGGAGGAACACCGAUGGCGAAGGCAAUCCCCUGGGCCUGCACUGACGCUCAUGCACGAAAGCGUGGGGAGCAAACAGGAUUAGAUAGCCCUGGUAGUCCACGCCCUAAAACGAUGUCAACUGGUUGUUGGGAAGGUUCCUUCUCAGUAACGUAGCUAACGCGUGAAGUUGACCGCCU